CGGCUGGGAAGCGCGACCGUUAGGAAAUGGCCGUUGGGUCCCCGCGAGGGGCCGGGGCGCUGCCCGAGCUCCCUCAGGCCGGCUGGGCCCCAGAGGCUGCCUUUUCAUCUCUCUGCCCCCCACAUCACCCCCCUGGAGCGGUGUUUUCCAACCGCUUUUCAUUUAAGGGCGCUUUAAACGUUUUCCAGGGUGGGAGUGGCUGCAGCGCGCAGCUUUGCUGCUCYGCUCUCCGGGGCACUCGGCCUCGUCGGCUUGAGAGGAGCCGAGUGCGUCCACUUUAGCACCUCUUAUGGCACGUUAGCCCUCUGCAAGAGACACUGGUUUUGACACUUCUGCGAGCUGCAAAGAUGAACUGAAUGAGGUGAAGCUCGGCUGCCGCUUUCGGAAGAGCCCUCAGGCCUCGGCUCCGCAGAGGCUGGCAGUGGGCUCUGCGACGCGAAGCGCUUCACAAAAACAAAACCAACAGGUGUCCUUCAUGCCCGCGCGUGGCACGUUUCAGUAGAUUUACUUAUUUCAAACUAUCUUAAAAAGAACUUUGUCAGAUCCCUUCUGUUUCCUGUCGUGUGGGUGAAGGAGCUCGGAGGUCCGUUGCGGGGAAGCAGCUGCCUGGGGCUUGGCAAGGAGGUGUCAGCCCUAUCUCCUGGCCGUGUUUCCCUAUCGCGUUCUGGAUGUGCCACCCUCGGGGCAAUAGUGGCGCCUCGGCUGAGCGCCAGCAGUGUGCGAGGUGAUAAAUCCAAGCUAGAGCAGGCGCCACAUAAGAAGGCAUCGCAGCACGCUGUGCGCCUGGGACGCCGAGCCCCAACGAUGCAGCCCUUCCAGCGUGCCCACCUGCUCCUCCUGCUCGCUCUGCUCACCCUCUGCUUGCCCCUCACCUGGGUGGUCGCGACUACAGAGCCCACAACCACCUCCCACGGCGAACCCAUCAGCCUGGCCACCUCAUGCUGCGGCCCAGCCUUCACCUCCCUCGCGCUGGGCCUGGCCGCGGCUUUCCUCCUCCGGCUGUGCUGAGUCUCGGGGCUGACGGCACCCAGGCGCCCUGGCCCCGCGGAGACACUCCCAGGACGGCGGCCCUGGGCCCUCCUUGGACACUUGCAGCAAGGACCGGCCAGCAUGACGCCAUCGCUCCCGCCUGCAAGUCCCUCUCCCCGGCCAGCCGGCUGCUCCAUGCUCACUCCCCGGGCCCCAAGCGGCCCCUCCAGCCCCCCGUGCCGCGCUCCGGCUCCCCUGCGCCAGGGUGACGAUGCCAGCCGAAGGCAGCCGUGCCGGCGGGACGGACCCAUGACGCUUCGCAACGUGACGGCGAAGGUGCCCCGGCUCGGCACACUCCUGGCUCGGGAGCGGGCGUGCUGCCGAGGCUUUGAGAAAUAAAACACUGGCAUAGCGGCUGCGGUCUGCCUCG
This 1399-nucleotide long non-coding RNA is filed under the name Dromaius novaehollandiae (emu). Its description in RNAcentral is "lncRNA (ENSDNVG00000008161.1)". Lineage: Eukaryota; Metazoa; Chordata; Aves; Casuariiformes; Dromaiidae. The record is from RNAcentral.